CACGGAGGGCGUCGGGUCAGGCAUUCGCCAACCCGGUCAGGUCCGGAAGGAAGCAGCCGUAACGAAACCGCCUGAGGUCGGCCGCCCUCCGCCUUU
This 96-nucleotide signal recognition particle RNA is filed under the name Azospirillum sp. 51_20. RNAcentral describes it as "signal recognition particle sRNA small type". It matches the Rfam family "Bacterial small signal recognition particle RNA". Rfam says of the family: The signal recognition particle (SRP) is a universally conserved ribonucleoprotein involved in the co-translational targeting of proteins to membranes. Archaeal SRP consists of a 7S RNA and homologues of the eukaryotic SRP19 and SRP54 proteins. RNAcentral also lists the same sequence under 1 other name. Lineage: Bacteria; Pseudomonadati; Pseudomonadota; Alphaproteobacteria; Rhodospirillales; Azospirillaceae. The record is from RNAcentral.